This 1101-nucleotide long non-coding RNA is filed under the name Homo sapiens (human). Its description in RNAcentral is "HSALNT0400011". Lineage: Eukaryota; Metazoa; Chordata; Mammalia; Primates; Hominidae. The record is from RNAcentral.
AGUGAUGACGCAACCUUGCAGGGGCUUCCUUGACGCUCCUGGGAACAGGAACACGUGGCUCCUUGAGAGCAGAACUUUCCUGCUUUGCUCCCUUCUGGAUUCGCAACACUAACAUCAUACUUGACAACUGGUAGGCACUCAGGAAGUGUUUCCAUAAGACCUGGAAGACAAGACAUAAUGUGGGGACACAAAGGCAGAUGAAGACUUAUUGCUCAUUCUUCUUUUUUCCACUUCCUGAAAUAGACAGUCCUUCCCUCCUGAUCCAAACCCGAUUCAUUGUGUCAUAUCUAACUAAAAUGGCACCUUUCCUAAGAGUGCUUGUUCUUUGUGACUCCAGGACGUUCUAUCAGCCAUUGUUGUGGAUACCCUUCCCCACACAUUUUAGAGCUCCAAGUACAGCACAGUGAUGGCAUUUCAUGCUCCUUGGAACCUGUGAGGUGGGUGCCACAUCGUCUUCACUUUUUGGAUGUGAAAGCUGAAGCUCAGAGGUCCUGUCACCAGUCUAUGUGUCAAGGUCAUACACAUCAGUUAGUGAACAGCCAGGGUCUGCAGCCUCACUGUCCAGCUUCGGGGGGCUCCACGCGGAAACUCCCUGCAGUUCUCUGUUCUCCGCGGUAACCUCACUCGUGGAUUCCUUUAAGGCCUAUUCUUUUAUCUUCAACUAAACCAUGAAUCCCUUGAUGACAGCUUUUGUCUUGUACUUUUUUUUACAUCUGGAUAGCCACUUCACAAAAGAAUACCUGCAGGAGUCUAUCAUACGUGCACUGAUUGAGAUGGAUCAUGUGAGGAUAUGUAAAACCAGAGACUCAAAAAAUAGCAAACUGAACAUUUAGAUAAGGAAUCAAGGUGAAGAUGGAUAAACAUGCAAGUUUGAAAGAAAGCAGGAACAAGGCAAUCCAACUUGUAUUUUCUGUAAGCUGGCGGCAGAACAUUUAACUGCCAGCUCCUGACAAGGUUUGGAAAACUCAUCAGUGGGAAAGCAGCCAAAACACUGCUCAAGCAUGGGUGGUCACCAGCAGCAAAGGAGGGAAAGCAAGCCAGAAAGAAAGAAGGAAAGAGAGAGUUUUUAUAUAAGUGCUUUCCCAUGAUGUUCUAGCUAUG